This 278-nucleotide ribosomal RNA is filed under the name uncultured bacterium. Its description in RNAcentral is "partial 16S ribosomal RNA". It matches the Rfam family "Bacterial small subunit ribosomal RNA", at positions 335 to 630 of the family's 1533-position model. The record is from RNAcentral.
AUCCCUACGGGAGGCAGCAGUGGGGAAUAUUGGACAAUGGGGGAAACCCUGAUCCAGCGACGCCGCGUGAGUGAAGAAGUAUUUCGGUAUGUAAAGCUCUCUCAGCAGGGAAGAAAAUGACGGUACCUGACUAAGAAGCCCCGGCUAACUACGUGCCAGCAGCCGCGGUAAUACGUAGGGGGCAAGCGUUAUCCGGAUUUACUGGGUGUAAAGGGAGCGUAGACGGCGCGGCAAGUCUGAAGUGAAAGUCAGGGGCUUAACCCCUGACCUGCUUUGUA